RNAcentral lists this transfer RNA (69 nucleotides) under Marmota marmota marmota (Alpine marmot). It matches the Rfam family "tRNA". From Rfam's summary of the family: Transfer RNA (tRNA) molecules are approximately 80 nucleotides in length. Their secondary structure includes four short double-helical elements and three loops (D, anti-codon, and T loops). Lineage: Eukaryota; Metazoa; Chordata; Mammalia; Rodentia; Sciuridae. The record is from Rfam by way of RNAcentral. RNAcentral also lists the same sequence under 1 other name.
GGGGUUGUGGCUUAGUGGUAGAGUGCUUGCCUAGCAUGCAUGAGGCACUCGGUUCGAUCCUCAGCACCA